RNAcentral lists this ribosomal RNA (380 nucleotides) under uncultured bacterium. RNAcentral describes it as "bacterial SSU rRNA". It matches the Rfam family "Bacterial small subunit ribosomal RNA", at positions 335 to 704 of the family's 1533-position model. The record is from RNAcentral.
ACUCCUACGGGAGGCAGCAGUGGGGGAAUAUUGCACAAUGGGGGAAACCCGUGAUGCAGCCAUGCCGCGUGUGUGAAGAAGGCCUCGGUUGUAAAGCACUUUCAGUAGGAGGAAGGUAGUGUAGUUAACACCUGCAUUAUUUGUACGUUACCUACAGAAGAAGCACCGGCUAACUCCGUGCCAGCAGCCGCGGUAAUACGGAGGGUGCGAGCGUUAAUCGGAAUUACUGGGCGUAAAGCGCAUGCAGGCGGCCUGUUAAGUUCAGAUGUGAAAGCCCGGGGCUUAACCUCGGAAUUGCAUUUGAAACUGGCGAGGCUAGAGUCUUGUAGAGGGGUUAGGAAUUUCGAGGUGUAGCGGUGAAAUGCGUAGAGAUCUGAAGG